UCUCAUUUACUUUGAAGAGAGCAAUACGAGAUGUAUUAUUGAGAGAAAAAUAGUUGGUUUUAAUUCUCAACCUAUUGUUCUUUUUUUAUUUUCGUUCUAGACCUUUGCAUAUUGUCUUGAACCAUUGCUGGUUAAUUCGCUUUUAAGCCUCGCUGGCUGCAGCCACUUUCCCGUCGGGGUUGUCAGUGGCUCUUGGAACCACCGGUGACUUCACCAAGGCCAAUGGCAGCCGUCGGCAAUGCCACCAUCACCCCCUUGCCUAUACAUUUUUGAAGUUUUGCGUUCAUUUGGCGCAUGACAGUCCUUCGGGUCCAUCCGGAUCCUAGUGGAAGGGGGGAGCAGCAGCGGCUCUGACAAAGGACACAAGUGCAGCAGCUCUUAGCACUGAUAAGGCAGGGUCGUGCCAACCCACACCAAUCCUCUCGUAUGUAUUCUAAUUUAUCUAUCGAAAGCUCCAACCGGAUCAUUGACACAGGAGCAUCGCUGCAUUUAACCGGGACAUUGAGCCAUCUUCUGGAUUCCAAGCCGAUAGAACAUCCGCAUCCAAUUUGGGUGUCGGUCGGGAGAUCUGUGAAUGCUAAACGAAUUGGUCGAGUGCAAUCGGGGCCGGAUAUUAUGCCGAAGGAUGUGCUUUAUGUGCCAGAAUUUACCUGCAACUUGAUUUCUGUUCGGAGGCUGGCAGAGGAUUUAAAUUGUUCGGUCUCAUUAUUUGCAAACUUUUGUGUAAGGCAGGACCUGGCAUCGAGGAGGCUGAUUGGAGCGUGUAAAUUACAAGAGGGGUCUCUACUUCUUCGGGUUUGUGGUAUCUUCCUCGGCCUUGAGCGCAGUCAGGAAAGGAGAAUACGAGAAGUGGCACAGAAGAUUGGGACACCCAGCAAGAAAAGCGUUAUCUUUUAUUCCUGAAAUAAAACAAGUUAAUCAAGAGAAUAAAGCUUGCGAGAUAUGUUUUCAGGCUAAGAAGACUAUAACUAUAUUUCCUUUGAGUACCAGCAGAUAAAAGUAUUGUUUCGAUCUAAUACAUUCUGAUAUUUGGGGGCCC
Molecule: non-coding RNA, 1039 nt
Organism: Punica granatum (pomegranate)
Lineage: Eukaryota; Viridiplantae; Streptophyta; Magnoliopsida; Myrtales; Lythraceae
Source: RefSeq, a predicted model, not a curated record